Molecule: long non-coding RNA, 2811 nt
Organism: Oreochromis niloticus (Nile tilapia)
Lineage: Eukaryota; Metazoa; Chordata; Actinopteri; Cichliformes; Cichlidae
Exons: 2
Source: RefSeq, a predicted model, not a curated record
AAUAAGUUUAUGAGAGAUAAUUGUAAGCAGACUUUAUGCUGCUUCUUGUUUAAUUUUUUGAUGUAAAUCAGUUGUUUUACAAUACUCAGUAUUGAAUACUUGGAGGUAAUUUUUAGUGUAUUUCCACUUGUUCUAGUUGGCCUAUGGUACAAGCAGGAUUAAACACGUCUAUUUUAAUGCUCCUAUUUGUGGACUGAGUCCUUGUGUUUAUGUGUUAUUGAACCUGAUUGUUUGCACUUUGUUCAUUUCUGAUGAGCAUUUGCAUAUUAUUCCAUUUCUUAAAAGGGGUAAUAUACUUAUUUAUUUGUGAUUAGAUAUAUAUGUACAGUGAGUUUAUUUUGAUGGAUGUAAUUAAUGUUUACAAUGAAAGUGAGUUAUAUGGUGACAAUAAUUCCUGAAUGUUUGAAGCCUUGUAGAUAAUCUUUAAUGUUACUGCAGGUUACAAUUAAGUAUUGAACCUUGAUACUGUGAAAUUUUGGAUAUUGAUACUUUGAACUUUGAACCUUGAUAUUUUAAUGUUGUACAACAUGACUGAACUGAUGAUAAUUGAAUUGAUGAUAGCUGAUCUGAAUAGUAGUUACUGCACUGUGACACUACUUUAGUUUAAUUUGUGAGAGUUAUUCUUAAAGUGGACGUGACAUAUAUUUGACCAUUGUUUAUAGGUCAGGUUUUUAUAUGGGACAAAUCCAAAGACCAGGUCAGUGAUUCCAGAACCCAGAGUGUUCCAGUGUUCACUGGAUGGCGAGCCAACCCAAGAUCCUAGGAGACGAUAUACAUACAUACGCACACUCAUUUGCACAUUGAUGGACUACAAUCCUCUACUGUACAAGUAGUACGGUAGGACAGACAAUCACACACACACUCCUUGUCGGACGAAUUCUAUUGCAAUACACCCGUUUGUCAUGGGCCCCACCGGUACCAUUUGGACCUAAAAAAAAGACUAAUUCUUUUACUUGUGCACAAUUUUAUUUUAUUCUAUUUUUUUGCUACUUUGGGGGAAAAUUUUAUACUUGAAGUUCUGUUAAAACCUGUUGAAAUACUGUGUUGUUUACAAAUUUCUUUUACAAGGCUUAACAUCACUAAAGUACUUUUAAGCCACACAACUGUGUUUGUCUGGUUUCUCUGCCAUUCAUAUACCAGAGCUCUAAGAGUCGUUCUUAAUCUUCUGAUACUAGCCCAAAUUACUUAUUACCUUGGUAAUUAUCCAUGUACUUCAAUCCACGUAAGUGCUACAAUGAUAUAUUGCCGUAAAACAUAGUGAAGUGGGUGACAGUGCAGAUCAGAGUGCGAGAAAAUGGCUCGUUUAUUGGAAUUAAUUAAGUUCUAUUUUAUGCUUGGAUUGAGGCAUGGGGAGAUUUUGCUGUUAUUGAGCAGUUUGGACAGUAUUGUGAUAAGCAUGCGGACACUUAGAAGAAACCUAAAACGCAUGGGACUGUACAGGAGAAAGAAUGAGUCCGAUCCGAUUGAGGUGGCAGGAUUUCUUAUUGAUCAACUGGAGGGACACGGGAGGCUCCAUGGAUAUAAACUACACCACCUGAACUGCAUUCAGGCAGGUUAUGUUGUCACGCAGAGUACUGUGAGACAUUUACUGAAAUAUCUUGACCCUUACGGUGUUGAGCAACGACGCGUGCGACGCACGUAUGUAAAUCCUGGACCAAAUUUCAUGUGGCAUGUUGACUCCUAUGACAAACUGAAGCCUUUUGGAAUCUGUAUAAAUGGAGCUAUUGAUGGCUUUUUGAGAGUUAUGAUUUGGCUUCAUGCCUAUUCAACAAACAAUGAUCCCAAAGUCAUUGCUGGCUAUUUCAUAGCAGAAGUUGAAAAGAGGAUGGGAACACCUGCUAGGAUUCGCUCUGAUUUGGGAACAGAAAACGUCAUAAUGGCGGAGAUGCAACGAUUCUUGUGAUGGACUAUGGAUCAGAACGUCAGAAACUGUUUUAUUACUGGAUCCAGCAAUCACAAUCAGCGUAUUGAAGGCUGGUGGGCCUUUCUGAGACGACAUCAUGCUCAGCACUGGAUAAAUCGUCUCCAGGAACUAAAAGACCAUGACUGCUUUUCUGGAUGUUUUUUGGACAAGCAGCUCAUAUUGUUUACGUGCCUGAACGUCAUCGAGGAAGAGCUGCAGCAAGUUGCACAUAUGUGGAACACCCACAUAAUACGCAGAAGCAGAAAUGCAGUUGCUCCAAGUGGACGUCCGAUUCUCAUGUACACCAUCCCUCAUCUCUUUUGGAGGACAGGAUCAUUUGAAAGAGGUUUCUCGGGAGGCAGUGGAUGCUUGUAAACAGAGAGGACCUUAUACCUGUGAUGAAACUUUUUUCAGCUUGUGUUGCCUUAUAAUGUCACAGGACUUCUUACUUCCACCAAGCACAGCAGAUUAAUCCAUUGAACUGUAUCUCUUCCUGAGAGCCUAUAUACCGAAGGACUUAUAAACCUAAAUAUAAUUGGGCUUUGGGAUUUUUUACGGACAUAUUUUUUGGUACAAUGUUUUAUUUGUGCAAUAAACAAUAGAAAAGACAAUUAUUAUUAUUUUGUUUGGAUUUUCGGUUCAAGAUAGUAGCAAGCAAGCAAGCAUGUCUAAAUAUAUUUAACUAAAUCUAUGUACUCCAGUGAAGAAUCAAAAUUAAACCAGGUCCUUGUAUUAGUAUUGCUUUUCUUUUUUUAAUAUUUUGACUGAGACAUUUAUGCAAAAAACAGGUGUUUGCUUCCCAUCUAAAGAAAACAUUUGACACCUGUUUAUUAAUUGAAAUUAGAACAUUGAAGUAAAUGCUUGAAUACGCAAAAUGUUUUAAAAAUAAAUCAGUAGAAAGACGUGCA